This 253-nucleotide ribosomal RNA is filed under the name uncultured bacterium. Its description in RNAcentral is "partial 16S ribosomal RNA". It matches the Rfam family "Bacterial small subunit ribosomal RNA", at positions 524 to 776 of the family's 1533-position model. The record is from RNAcentral.
UACGAGCGGCCCAAACGUUAUUCGGAUUUACUGGGCUUAAAGAGUUCGUAGGCGGCGCGGAAAGUAGGGUGUGAAAGCCCUCGGCUCAACCGAGGAAUUGCGCCCUAAACUGCCGUGCUAGAGGAACCUAGAGGUGAGCAGAACUGAUGGUGGAGCGGUGAAAUGCGUUGAUAUCAUCAGGAACACCGAUGGCGAAGGCAGGUCUCUGGGCAUUAACUGACGCUGAGGAGCGAAAGCAUGGGGAGCGAACAGG